GGGGACGUAGUCUAACUUGGCUAGGACGCCGGCCUUGGGCGCCGGGAAUCUGGGUUCAAAUCCCAGCGUUUCCA
This 74-nucleotide transfer RNA is filed under the name Candidatus Aenigmatarchaeota archaeon. RNAcentral describes it as "tRNA-Pro". It matches the Rfam family "tRNA". Rfam says of the family: Transfer RNA (tRNA) molecules are approximately 80 nucleotides in length. Their secondary structure includes four short double-helical elements and three loops (D, anti-codon, and T loops). Lineage: Archaea; Nanobdellati; Candidatus Aenigmatarchaeota. The record is from RNAcentral.